This 253-nucleotide ribosomal RNA is filed under the name uncultured bacterium. RNAcentral describes it as "partial 16S ribosomal RNA". It matches the Rfam family "Bacterial small subunit ribosomal RNA", at positions 524 to 776 of the family's 1533-position model. The record is from RNAcentral.
UACGUAGGGGGCAAGCGUUGUCCGGAAUCAUUGGGCGUAAAGAGCGUGUAGGCGGCUCGGUAAGUCCGCUGUGAAAGUCCAGGGUUCAACCCUGGAAUGCCGGUGGAAACUGUCGAGCUAGAGUCCGGAAGAGGCGAGUGGAAUUCCUGGUGUAGCGGUGAAAUGCGCAGAUAUCAGGAGGAACACCAAUGGCGAAGGCAGCUCGCUGGGACGGUACUGACGCUGAGACGCGAAAGCGUGGGGAGCAAACAGG